This 755-nucleotide ribosomal RNA is filed under the name uncultured Actinomycetales bacterium. Its description in RNAcentral is "bacterial SSU rRNA". It matches the Rfam family "Bacterial small subunit ribosomal RNA", at positions 725 to 1482 of the family's 1533-position model. Lineage: Bacteria; Bacillati; Actinomycetota; Actinomycetes; Actinomycetales. The record is from RNAcentral.
GUCUCUGGGCCAAUACUGACACUGAGGAGCGAAAGCGUGGGGAGCGAACAGGAUUAGAUACCCUGGUAGUCCACGCCGUAAACGGUGGGCGCUAGUUGUGCGAACCUUCCACGGUUUGUGCGACGCAGCUAACGCAUUAAGCGCCCCGCCUGGGGAGUACGAUCGCAAGAUUAAAACUCAAAGGAAUUGACGGGGCCCCGCACAAGCAGCGGAGCAUGCGGCUUAAUUCGACGCAACGCGAAGAACCUUACCAAGGCUUGACAUAUACAGGAAUAUGGCAGAGAUGUCAUAGCCGCAAGGUCUGUAUACAGGUGGUGCAUGGUUGUCGUCAGCUCGUGUCGUGAGAUGUUGGGUUAAGUCCCGCAACGAGCGCAACCCUCGUUCUGUGUUGCCAGCAUUAAGUUGGGGACUCACAGGAGACUGCCGGGGUUAACUCGGAGGAAGGUGGGGAUGACGUCAAAUCAUCAUGCCCCUUAUGUCUUGGGCUGCACGCAUGCUACAAUGGCUGGUACAAACGGCUGCGAUACCGCAAGGUGGAGCGAAUCCGAUAAAGCCAGUCUCAGUUCGGAUUGGGGUCUGCAACUCGACCCCAUGAAGUCGGAGUUGCUAGUAAUCGUAGAUCAGCAACGCUACGGUGAAUACGUUCCCGGGGCUUGUACACACCGCCCGUCACAUCACGAAAGUCGGUAACACCCAAAGUCAGUGGCCCAACCGUAAGGAGGGAGCUGCCAAAGGUGGGAUCGGUGAUUGGGAUG